Long non-coding RNA from Magnolia sinica, 1042 nucleotides. RefSeq lists it as uncharacterized. NCBI's taxonomy places the organism in Eukaryota, Viridiplantae, Streptophyta, Magnoliopsida, Magnoliales, Magnoliaceae. The record is from RefSeq and is a predicted model, not a curated record. The transcript has 3 exons.
UCUCUCUCUCUCUCUCUCUCUCUCUCUCUCUCUCUCUCUCUCUCUCUCUCUCUCUCUCUCUGCAGGAUUACCUCAAAACCAUUAUUCCUUUGCAGUUCAUCACCGAGGGAGGCUUGAUUCUCAUCGUCAGAAAUCCAUGUAAGGAAAACCCUAACCGUGCAUCUAAUGCAUCACCCACCUCCAUGAAAUGUAUGCAUGCGUGAAGGCGGGGCAUUUUUACGGCACCUUCUUUGUCUAUAUAUUUUUUAAAUUCUUUGUAAUGUGGAUUUUCAAUGAAUGAAUGGGGUUUGGGUCUGUUUGGAUGCUUGGAAUGGCCAUACAUUCGGAUCAUCUCAAGUCUAGAUGAUCAUCUCAUUUUUGGGCUCAAGAUGCUCCAGAUGCACAAGAUUUAAAGGACAAUAUCUUAAGAGUAGGGGAAAGGAAGAUUUCAAUGCCAUUUUUGCAAGGUUUACAACUUCAAAAGGGGUGUUUUGUGUGGAUGUUGCUGAUAUUUAUAAUACAAUCUCCCUCCUGUAUUUCAUGCAUGCUAACUAUUUGAUAAAAUGGCUCAAUAAGGAGUGUUUUGUGUGGAUGUAGCUGAUAUUUAUAAUACAAUCUCCCUCUUGUAUUUCAUGCAUGCUAAUUGUUUGAUGAAAUGGCUCAAGAAGGAAUGAGAAGCUAGCACUACUGUCAUUAGGCUAUGAUCUGACUAAUCCUUGAUCUUGGGCAUGUCGAGAAAAGUUUAUCAAGAUUGAGCAGGUUUCAAUUUUUAUAGUGAUGCCUCUUAUAAUAGCUAUUUCUUUCUCUAUGUUCUGAAACACUUCUUACUAAGACUAUGAUGACACCUGUAACUUGAUUGGACUGGCACUAUGUGUCUCAACCUUAAGAUCAUGGGCCGGAUCCUAGCUUAUCUACUGAAGCACAUGAUUGCACAAAAUUGGUAAAGAAAACUGAUGAGCGAUUGUGUCUUUGAUUUUUUUAAAUGAUUGGCUCUCUCUGUCUUACUUCUGCCUACAUUUACAUCACUAAAUCCAUAAGGGCUCUUCCAUUUACCAUAGCCCUU